GCAAGUCGAGGGGUAACGGGGUGCUUGCACCGCCGACGACCGGCGCACGGGUGCGUAACGCGUAUACAAUCUACCUUUUGCUGAGGAAUAGCCCAGAGAAAUUUGGAUUAAUGCCUCAUAGUAUGUCGACCUCGCAUGAGAAUGAUAUUAAAGGUUACGGCAAAAGAUGAGUAUGCGUUCUAUUAGCUAGAUGGUGUGGUAACGGCUUACCAUGGCAACGAUAGAUAGGGGUCCUGAGAGGGAGACC
RNAcentral lists this ribosomal RNA (247 nucleotides) under uncultured bacterium. RNAcentral's name for it is "partial 16S ribosomal RNA". It matches the Rfam family "Bacterial small subunit ribosomal RNA", at positions 57 to 305 of the family's 1533-position model. The record is from RNAcentral.